Molecule: ribosomal RNA, 774 nt
Filed under: uncultured bacterium
Lineage: Bacteria
Description: bacterial SSU rRNA
Rfam family: Bacterial small subunit ribosomal RNA
Source: RNAcentral
AGCCGAGCGGUAUUUCUUCUUCGGAAGAGAGAGAGCGGCGCACGGGUGCGUAACACGUGUGCAACCUACCUUUAUCUGGGGGAUAGCCUUUCGAAAGGAAGAUUAACACCCCAUAAUAUAUUAGAUGGCAUCAUUUGAUAUUGAAAACUCCGGUGGAUAAAGAUGGGCACGCGCAAGAUUAGAUAGUUGGUGAGGUAACGGCUCACCAAGUCAAUGAUCUUUAGGGGUCCUGAGAGGGAGAUCCCCCACACUGGUACUGAGACACGGACCAGACUCCUACGGGAGGCAGCAGUGAGGAAUAUUGGACAAUGGGUGAAAGCCUGAUCCAGCCAUCCCGCGUGAAGGAUGACGGUCCUAGGAUUGUAAACUUCUUUUGUACAGGGAUAAACCUACUCUCGUGAGGGUAGCUGAAGGUACUGUACGAAUAAGCACCGGCUAACUCCGUGCCAGCAGCCGCGGUAAUACGGAGGGUGCAAGCGUUAUCCGGAUUUAUUGGGUUUAAAGGGUCCGUAGGCGGGCCCGUAAGUCAGUGGUGAAAUCUCAUAGCUUAACUAUGAAACUGCCAUUGAUACUGCGGGUCUUGAGUAAAUUUGAAGUGGCUGGAAUAAGUAGUGUAGCGGUGAAAUGCAUAGAUAUUACUUAGAACACCAAUUGCGAAGGCGGUGCACUAAGAUUUAACUGACGCUGAUGGACGAAAGCGUGGGUAGCGAACAGGAUUAGAUACCCUGGUAGUCCACGCCGUAAACGAUGCUAACUCGUUUUUGGAUUUUCGGA